GAUGAACGCUGGCGGCGUGCCUAAUACAUGCAAGUCGAACGAAAAGUCUAUGAGCUUGCUUGCUUGACGUCAGCGGUAAAGGGGUGAGUAACGAGCGGGUAACUAACAUGUGAGACAGCCACCACUAAGAGAGAGAGGACACUAUACAACAGGAGCUAAUGCAGCAUAACGUUAGUUACCGAAUGAUGACUUUGUAAAAAGUUACUGUACUACCUCCUCUGGAUUGGCUCGCGGCGCAUUAGCUAGUUGGUAGGGUAAAGGCUUACCAAGGCAAUGAUGCGUAGCCGAACUGAGAGGUUGAUCGGCCACAUUGGAACUGAGACACGGUCCAAACUCCUACGGGAGGCAGCAGUAGGGAAUCUUCCGCAAUGGGCGAAAGCCUGACGGAGCAACGCCGCGUGAGUGAUGAAGGUCUUCGGAUCGUAAAACCCUGUUAUUAGGGAAGAACGAACGUGUAAGUAACUGUACACGUCUUGACGGUACCUAAUCAGAAAGCCACGGCUAACUACGUG
Molecule: ribosomal RNA, 512 nt
Filed under: uncultured bacterium
Lineage: Bacteria
Description: partial 16S ribosomal RNA
Rfam family: Bacterial small subunit ribosomal RNA
Source: RNAcentral